RNAcentral lists this ribosomal RNA (465 nucleotides) under Vreelandella stevensii. Its description in RNAcentral is "partial 16S ribosomal RNA". It matches the Rfam family "Bacterial small subunit ribosomal RNA", at positions 338 to 795 of the family's 1533-position model. The record is from RNAcentral. Lineage: Bacteria; Pseudomonadati; Pseudomonadota; Gammaproteobacteria; Oceanospirillales; Halomonadaceae.
CCUACGGGGGGCUUCAGUGGGGAAUAUUGGACAAUGGGCGAAAGCCUGAUCCAGCCAUGCCGCGUGUGUGAAGAAGGCCUUCGGGCUGUAAAGCACUUUCAGUGGGGAAGAAAGCCUUGGGGCUAAUACCCUCGAGGAGGGACAUCACCCACAGAAGAAGAACCGGCUAACUCCGUGCCAGCAGCCGCGGUAAUACGGAGGGUGCGAGCGUUAAUCGGAAUUACUGGGCGUAAAGCGCGCGUAGGCGGUCUGAUAAGCCGGUUGUGAAAGCCCCGGGCUCAACCUGGGAACGGCAUCCGGAACUGGCAGGCUAGAGUGCAGGAGAGGAAGGUAGAAUUCCCGGUGUAGCGGUGAAAUGCGUAGAGAUCUGGAGGAAUACCAGUGGCGAAGGCGGCCUUCUGGACUGACACUGACGCUGAGGUGCGAAAGCGUGGGUAGCAAACAGGAUUAGAUACCCCAGUAGUC